Molecule: ribosomal RNA, 103 nt
Filed under: Chlorocebus pygerythrus (vervet)
Lineage: Eukaryota; Metazoa; Chordata; Mammalia; Primates; Cercopithecidae
Description: partial 12S ribosomal RNA
Source: RNAcentral
GCUUAGCCCUAAACCUCAGUAGUUAAACCAACAAAACUACUCGCCAGAAUACCACAAGCAACCGCUUGAAACUCAAAGGACUUGGCGGUGCUUCACACCCUCC